This is a long non-coding RNA of Schistocerca americana (American grasshopper), 586 nucleotides long. RefSeq lists it as uncharacterized. The transcript is spliced from 5 exons. The record is from RefSeq and is a predicted model, not a curated record. NCBI's taxonomy places the organism in Eukaryota, Metazoa, Arthropoda, Insecta, Orthoptera, Acrididae.
CGGCCAGUCACGCACGGGUCGGCGACCACGCGGGCUGCCCGUCCAGCGCGGCCUUGCAGGCAGAGACACAGGGAGGCGCUCGCUGCACGGAGCUGGCGCACUUGCAAUUUGCUGGAUCACCUUUAUCACUCGUGCCACGUUUCUUCAACGCAGUGCCUGAAUAUGAUAGUUCUUUAGAACUCUCAGGAGAAACUUCCGUAGGUUGGGCUGCAGAAACCUGCGUUAACGCUGCCCACAUACGAGCGACGUUCAUGGUGUGCAUCACAUGGACACCAGCCGUGGUGAUAUGAAACAAGCCGUCGUGGACCUCGUCAGCUCAGAAAUCGCAACUAGAGUUUUGUGGCCACCAUAGAAGACGACAUGAGGGGUGGACAACUCGGCCUCUUCUGCCUGGUCUGCCUGCUGAUCCUGCUCAUCCUGCUCCUCCGCUUCUCUAAAAGGCUCCGGCAACAACUGGCGGUGGGCUACGUGCCGGCGGUGGUGUGGCCGGCGGGCGUGUGGCUGGUGCGCCGCCCCCCGGCCGCCGCCCACCAGCCGGCGCAGCUGCAGCUGGUGGCCGUCCACCCCCACCUCCACCCCCAGCCCG